UUUUAUGGAGAGUUUGAUCCUGGCUCAGAGUGAACGCUGGCGGCGUGCCUAAUACAUGCAAGUCGAACGAUGAAGCUUCUAGCUUGCUAGAAGUGGAUUAGUGGCGCACGGGUGAGUAACGCAUAGGUCAUGUGCCUCUUAGUUUGGGAUAGCCAUUGGAAACGAUGAUUAAUAUCAGAUACUCCCUACGGGGGAAAGAUUUAUCGCUAAGAGAUCAGCCUAUGUCCUAUCAGCUUGUUGGUAAGGUAAUGGCUUACCAAGGCUAUGACGGGUAUCCGGCCUGAGAGGGUGAACGGACACACUGGAACUGAGACACGGUCCAGACUCCUACGGGAGGCAGCAGUAGGGAAUAUUGCUCAAUGGGGGAAACCCUGAAGCAGCAACGCCGCGUGGAGGAUGAAGGUUUUAGGAUUGUAAACUCCUUUUGUUAGAGAAGAUAAUGACGGUAUCUAACGAAUAAGCACCGGCUAACUCCGUGCCAGCAGCCGCGGUAAUACGGAGGGUGCAAGCGUUACUCGGAAUCACUGGGCGUAAAGAGCGCGUAGGCGGGAUAGUCAGUCAGGUGUGAAAUCCUAUGGCUUAACCAUAGAACUGCAUUUGAAACUACUAUUCUAGAGUGUGGGAGAGGUAGGUGGAAUUCUUGGUGUAGGGGUAAAAUCCGUAGAGAUCAAGAGGAAUACUCAUUGCGAAGGCGACCUGCUGGAACAUUACUGACGCUGAUUGCGCGAAAGCGUGGGGAGCAAACAGGAUUAGAUACCCUGGUAGUCCACGCCCUAAACGAUGGAUGCUAGUUGUUGGAGGGCUUAGUCUCUCCAGUAAUGCAGCUAACGCAUUAAGCAUCCCGCCUGGGGAGUACGGUCGCAAGAUUAAAACUCAAAGGAAUAGACGGGGACCCGCACAAGCGGUGGAGCAUGUGGUUUAAUUCGAAGAUACACGAAGAACCUUACCUAGGCUUGACAUUGAGAGAAUCCGCUAGAAAUAGUGGAAUGUCUAGCUUGCUAGACCUUGAAAACAGGUGCUGCACGGCUGUCGUCAGCUCGUGUCGUGAGAUGUUGGGUUAAGUCCCGCAACGAGCGCAACCCCCUUUCUUAGUUGCUAACAGGUCAUGCUGAGAACUCUAAGGAUACUGCCUCCGUAAGGAGGAGGAAGGUGGGGACGACGUCAAGUCAUCAUGGCCCUUACGCCUAGGGCUACACACGUGCUACAAUGGGGUGCACAAAGAGAAGCAAUACUGCGAAGUGGAGCCAAUCUUCAAAACGCCUCUCAGUUCGGAUUGUAGGCUGCAACUCGCCUGCAUGAAGCUGGAAUCGCUAGUAAUCGCAAAUCAGCCAUGUUGCGGUGAAUACGUUCCCGGGUCUUGUACUCACCGCCCGUCACACCAUGGGAGUUGUGUUUGCCUUAAGUCAGGAUGCUAAAUUGGCUACUGCCCACGGCACACACAGCGACUGGGGUGAAGUCGUAACAAGGUAACCGUAGGUGAACCUGCGGUUGGAUCACCUCCUUUCUA
This 1507-nucleotide ribosomal RNA is filed under the name Helicobacter pylori. RNAcentral describes it as "bacterial SSU rRNA". It matches the Rfam family "Bacterial small subunit ribosomal RNA". Lineage: Bacteria; Pseudomonadati; Campylobacterota; Epsilonproteobacteria; Campylobacterales; Helicobacteraceae. The record is from RNAcentral.